CCAAAACAAGUAAAAUAAAAAAGAACCAGAAGCUUCCUAAAAUAAUCAAAUCGGAAAUAAAAUAAAAAAAAAUCGACAGAAAAAUUAAUGAACCUAGAAAAAGGAGAAACCUAAACCACCCCCAGUCAUAUCUAAACGGCUGGACUCCAUAUCUUUUGAUCGACUUCUCAUAUCAAGUUGUCCACCCAUCUCUGACGAUAGCUUUCCAAAAAAUUAAAUAUUCAUUGCUAUCUUUUAAACUGUUUCAUUUCCUCUCGAGACUUCUCUUGUCUGGCCAUCUUGCCCAUCACCCUUCUGGCUCCAUGUCUUGUCGGUUUGAGUCUUCUUGCACUAGGUAAGAGAUUACUUCACUUUCUAAUGCUUCCUUUGCAACUUUGUGGGCAUACAUGUUUUCUCUUCUAUGUAUAUGUUUAAAGUCUAUUUUUUGAAAAUGGACACUCAAAUUCUGAAUAUAUCGUAUAAUCGCUCCUAUAGUGAAUCUGUCUUUUACUUUUGUUUGGCAUUUCCGGAUUACUAUUCUUGAAUCUCCUUUAAUUUGAAUUUCCUAAAAACCCAAUGAGAUUCCUAACUUUAUGGCUUCCAAUCCUACAAACGCUUAUGUCGCAAACGGAGAUGAAACAUUGUUGUGGAGGACUGUCUUCGAGGCUAGAAAUUCAUCCCUAUAUCCCCAAAGCACCACCCCUGACGCAGAUCUGAAGGUUCUCUUGUCAAACGCAGCAUCAAAAUGCAUGUUUACCUUUGGUAAAGUUUCUGGACAUCUGUGUAUUCUGGCCAAGUCUAGAAGAUUCUGUUUUAUCCUUAUUUCAUCUUGUUCCGUCUUUAAACUCAGUAUUUUUUGAGCAAGAUUUCCUCAUGAAAUAGAUAUUCUCUUAUGAACAAGCUGGUUCCUGGAAUACCAGAUUUGCCAUAAUACAUAGCAGAAGACCUGACACUGAUCCUCAGAUCCUUGCAUGAAUUAUAACACCCUAUACCCGUAACCCACACUGACUCGGAGUACGAAGCAUUGCCUAACUUUAUCUUAUGCAUACAACAGUCUCAAGUCAUCGAAACUUGGUCCAAAUUAAAACUUUUUCAAUUUCUACUUUAAACUUCUUAUUAUGGGCCUACAAGCCCUAAAUCGAUCAUUAAAAACUAUUUAGAAACUUUCCGAGUCCUUAAACCAGCCUUAAGAAAUUUGCCUUUAAAACAGGAGACACACCGGUGUGGAAGGGUAACAUGCCCGUGUGACCAUUUCGACAUGGUUGUGCUGAUGGUCUGUGUGGCUCACAUAGCCUAAGCACCCUGGGACACGUCUGUGUCCUAUACCCGUGUGGAAUUAAAUUCUAAUUCACAACUACAGGGGUUUUCACACAGCCAGACACACGCCAGUGCCAAUGUCCCGUGUCCCUCAGAGGGCCAGGACAUGCCCGUGUCUUAACCUGUGUACAAAAACCUGGGUGUUCUGUUUCUGACGUCAACAUCGCUAAAUUGUCACAUGGCCAAGGCACACCCCCGUGUACUAGGCCAUGUCCUCCACACGGCUGAGACACACGGUCAUGUUUCUAACCGUGUGUUUAUUAUCAUGUAUACUAACUUGAAAUUUUUACGUGCAGGGGACACACAGCCGAACUACAUGCCCAUGGGGCAAACCGUGUGUCACACACGGCCUAGACACACGUCCGUAUGUCUACCCGUGUGGACAAUAUAAGGCUAUUUGCCAAGCCUUAUUGCCACUCUUAUAUACCUAGUUCCAUGUAAAUUCUAACCAAUACCAAGACAAACACAAUUUCUAUAAUCAAACAACCACAACAGACAUUCAUUUAACCAUGACAAUAUAUCUUUUUAAAUCAAAAUGAGUGUUAGCCAUCAUUCAAGGCUUGACACAAAAUGAAGGGUUCCCAACCCAAGUCAUUACCAUUGGCCAAUUCUCAAAGGCACAACACAAUAAAGUCUAAGCCCUAUACAUGCCAUAUUCAAAAAUAUAAAUCCAACAAUACCGAUUGCUUCGGCUAAUAGUGUGAUCGAUAUCUCUGACUUUUGGUGAUCCUUGAGCUAGAUAGGCGGCACUGUAAGGAAAUGGAAAGGAAGAGGUGUAAGCAUAAAGCUUAGUAAGUUGCACAUAAAUAGAUAUACAACAAUAAGUCAACCGUUUAUCAACAACUGAUGAUACCAAAGUGGGCAUAAGCACGACUUACUCUUCACUUUAUACAAAUCACAUAGCAUAUACAAUAAGUUCACAUCUUAUACAUAUGUAACACUUAGGUACCUGUAAUACUCACAAUACGGUUAUACUUUCCUGAUUAACUUAAAUUUAUAACUCUUGCCAUUGAAUCAUUCGGAACACUAUCAGAUAUUUCAUAAGCCUCAACCAUGGGUAAGGUACUGAUGCCUACACUGGCUAUCAUCUUCGAGGCCGAUGCCAUGUCCCGGACAUGGUCUUACACUAGCUCUCACAUAUAUGUACCGAUUUUAAGUCCCAGACAUGGUCUUACACUGACAUAUCUCGUAGCCGAUGCAUGUCCCAGACAUGUUUUACACUGGCUUACGUUUCGAGGCCAAUGCAUGUCCUAGACAUGUCUUACACUAACACUCACAUACCUGUGUCGAUGCCAUGUCCCAGACAUGGUCUUACAUUGGCUCUCAUAAUGUGGCUGAUGCAUGUCCCAGACAUGUCUUACACUAGCUCACACAAAUGACCCAAGUGAUACGACAUGAAUAUCCGGUUUACUUCCUAAGGUCCCAACGGGGAUUCUACUAUCUCAAUGAUCAUUACACAUUCUCAAAUCUCGAAAUCAAGCAAUUCAUGCCAUAUCUAUUCAAUGAAAAUUUAAAUACGAAUAGUAGCAAUGUAGUUAUAUUAUUUACAUACAACUUACCUCGGAUUUCAAAAUGUAGCGACUACACGGUUUAGUCGAUUUGCUUGGCUUUCAUGUAGUCUUGGUUCGGAUUUGACAAUUCUUGAUCUAUAUUAGAAAAAUAUACCCGUUUAGUCACUAAUUACAAUUAGGCAAUUUAAAAUUCAUAUUUUCAGUAAAAUGACCAUUUUGCCUCUAGACUUUGGCAAAAUGACCAUUGUACCUCUAUGCCCGAAAAUCGAUUUUUAUCAAAUUUAUUCACUUAUUAAGCUUAGUUGAACUUUUUUUACUGUUAUAGAAACUUAAAAUUCUCUCUAUUUCACACACUUAUCACUUAUUUUGCAACUUGUGCAAAAUAGUCCCUUUAGGUGCUUUCAUGCUAACGCAUUUCACAAAAGUUGUUUAUAAGACAACCAAGACUCAUUUUCUUCCAUAAAAACUCAGCAAAAACUACAAAUCCAUUCAUGGAAAAACCCUAAACUCUUAAUCAUUUUGCAAAAUAGAACCCUAAUUUGAAAGCUUAUGCUUCAAGGAGUCUAAAAAUGUAAAAAUCCUUAAGAGAAACUAUCAAAAUCACUUACUUGCAAGUGCUUCAAGUUGCUGAAAAAUUUAAGCUUUCAAACCCCCUAUCAUGGCUGAUAUUUUUGGUGGAAAGUCAUGAGAAGAAAAGAAAUUGACAACUUUUUCUAUUUUAUUUCUUUUUGGUCAAAAUAGCUACCAAAUUUCCACCUAAUUUUGAAAAUUGUCUCCCCUAUGUCUCAUGGCCGGCUAUACUAUCAAUUAAGGGUCUAUUUUCCCAUUAAAGACCCCUAAUUUUGGUUAUCAAACAAAAUAACACCUUUAGAUAUCAAUUUAUGACUUUUACACUUUAUGCGAUUUAAUCUUUUUUUGCAAUUGGGCUCACAAACGUCAAAAUUAACUUACCAAAAUUUUCAUGUACUAAUAUAAACAUGCUAUGACUCAUGUAAGCCAUGUACAAAAUUUUCAUGUACCUAAAUCGAGCUGUUACAUGAAUACCCAUGUAAGUUAUUCCCAAAAAUCAGUAUAUAAGUAAUUGGUUACCCAAGAGAUAUCUAAAUACUACCAAACUUCAAUACUUGCAGGACAUUGCCUAAGAAUGUGAAAGCAGUCUUCUACCCCAUAGCAGCAUGAGGACAGCUGAAAUUCAUGACCACCCUUCUGCUCCUGAGAUUAACCAAUAUGGGUAGAUAAUUCCAGGAGAUGCGCCAGAUUGUAAUUGUUAUUUUCAUAUGCAGUUAUAGGCUCCAUAAUUUUCUGAAAUUUUUUUUAAGAUCAGCCUGUAAUAAAUUACUACUAGGAUCUAGAGUAGAAUCCUGUAAUAGUUUAUAGGCACUGCGAACGGAGUAUUCACCAGACUUUUCCCUUCCCUCCUCCAAACUUGACUGUCCUCGUGGCCUAUUUUUGCAAAAGGAAUCUAUAGUAUUUUUUGAGCAAUCUCUUCUUGGAAGGUAUUGUGGAUCAAUUCUAUUUUCCAUUUCAUACUCGAACAAUCAAUAAGAUUUGAAAAUAACUCCAAUUGCUCAUUAUUUGUGUUGUUUUGUCUAUUAAUUGUGUUUAUUCUGGGAACCCAACAGUCAUUCCAAAUAGAGAUUUCCUUUCCAUUCCUUACUCUCCAACAUAGCCCACUAUGAAGCAGUCCCUUUGAGGCCCAAAUGCUCUUCCAAGUGAGAGAAGGUAGACUUCCUAACUGAGCUUCAAGAAAAUUAGUCUGUGGAUAAUAUUUUGCUUUUAAAACCGUUUCUAAUAACGAAUUGGGAUAAUUAAUCAGAUGCCAUCCUUGUUUGGCUAAUAAAGCUAUAUUAAAUUAACCCAGAUUUCUAAAACCUAACCCACCAUUCUCUUUUAAACAGCAAAGUUUUUCCAAGUGUACCAAUGAAUGUCCCUACCUCUUUUUCCCUUUUGCCACCAAAAUUUCACAAUAAUAAUUUCCAUAUCAUCACAUAGAGUUUUAGGUAAUAGAAAACAAGCCAUCGUAUAAGUCGGAAUCGCUUGAAGAAUAGCUUUUAUAAAAACUUCCUUCCCCUCCUAGAUAAAUAUUUAAUGCUCCAGUUGUCAAUGUACUAUUUAAUUCGGUCCUUCAAAAUUUGAAAAGACUCCUUCUUUCUCCUACCCAGCAUGUUUGGCAAACCUAGAUAGCAUUCUGGUUCGCUUGAGCAUCAAAAUGAUAAUAAAUUAACAACUACCUGUUUAUCCGCCUCCGAUGUGUUUCUGCUGAAGAAAACAGUCGACUUCUCAAAAUUAACUUGUUGUCCCGAACAGCAUCUAUAUUCACCUAGAAUUUCUUUAGAUAAACUUGCACCCCUCAUAGAUGCCUACCAAAAAAAAAUACAAUCGUCCGUAAAUAAUAGAUGGUAUACUGCUGGUCCACUCCUAUUGGCCUUCACCCCUUUUAACCGUUCUUCCUUCAUUGAUAAUCUCAUUAAGCUUGAUAAACCCUCUCCACAUAAAAAUAGAAACGGGCUUAAUGGAUCUCCUUGUCUAAGACCUCUGGUUGGUUGAAAUUUCUCCCCAGUGAAUCCAUUUAUGACGACUGAAUAAGAAACAGAAGUAAUGCAUUUCAUAAUCCCCUCAACCCAUUUUGUAGCAAAACCCAUGCAAAUCAUUAUUCCUUUAUGAAACUCUAUUUAACCCUAUCGUAAGCUUUGCUAAACAGAAGUAAUGCAUUUCAUAAUCCCCUUAACCCAUUUUGUAGCAAAACCCAUGCGAAUCAUUAUUUCCUUUAUGAAACUCUAUUUAACCCUAUCGUAAGCUUUGCUCAUGUCCAAUUUAACUGCCAUAAAACCUUUUCUUCCAUUCCUUUUUUGUUUAAGCGUAUUUAGGAUUUCAUAUGCUAGCAACACAUUAUCUGAUAUCAAUCUACCUGGCACAAAAGUGCUUUGCACUUCAUCAAUACAUUUCCCAAUCACAUCUCGAAAUCGAUUCGCUAUAGCCUUCGCCAAAAUUUUAUAUAAGACAUUACAUAGACUGAUCGGACAAAAGUGCGUCAUAUUCAUGGGAUUAGAAUUCUUUGGGAUAAACAGAAUAUUAGUAGAAUUGAACGAACUCACCUCCAUAUACCGUUUAGAAUUUGUAGACAAAAAGAAGUGACCUCAUCUCCAAUAAUGUACCAACAUUUCUGAUAAAACAAGGCUGGUAAACCAUCCUCUCCUGGUGCCUUUAUUGCCCUUAUCUCAAAAACCACUUCUCGAAUAUCUUCACUUGUCUAAGCUGCUAUCAGGUUUAAAUUAUCCCCUUCAGACACACAAGGGUCAAUAUCAGACAACACAUAAUCAUAGUUCCUUUUUUCUCCAGCUGUAAAUAAAUUAUGAAAAUAAGACCUUGCAACACCUUCCAUUUCAUACAGCACUUCCAUGUCCCUACCUUUAUCAUUCUGCAGCUUAUGGAUCAAAUUUUUUCUUGUACGUUGAGAUGCUAUGCUGUGAAAGAAGCUGUAUUCUUAUCCCCAAAUUUCAACCAAUUAAGUCUCACCCUCUACUCCCAGUAACGUUCAUCUUUUUCAAUUUCAAGAUUUAAAUGAAUUCUCGUAUUGAUCAUCUCCACCAUACAUUCCUCAUCUCUAUCAUUGGCCAUCAGUUCAGCCAACUUAUCUGUAAGAGCCUGUCUCCUCCUCCUUCGAUUCAUUUGAAUUUUCCUUGCCCAUUGACUCAAGCCUUUCUUUAAAUUAUCCAAUUUCUGUAAUAGUCUUCCUGAAGACAACCCCCAUAAACGUUUGACUUCUUUAAAAAAAAUAUCCUUCAAAACCCACCAGGCUUCCAAUUUAAAAGUGUUACUCCUCAGUCAAUCUUUACCCAUUUUUGUAUUAAUCAAAAGUGGACAAUGAUCUGAAAAGGAAUGAACUAAGUGUUGCACCUUAACCUCUAGGAAUAAAGAAAUCCAAUCAAUAGUAGCAACUCCUCUAUCCAACAGUUCUUGUAUAUUUGUCUCUGAUAAAUUGCCUCUUUCCGACGUAAACCAUGUGCUAAAAAACCCCACAUCAACCAAUUGACAGACUUCUAAAGUUCUUUGAAACAGCUCCAUUCUUCCCUCAUCUCUAGGUAGCCCUCCCUUUUUCUCAAACACAUACAUAAUUUCAUUAAAAUCCCCACAUACAAACCAAGGGAUAUCCUCCACGUCGAUCAGACUCUUCAACACCCUCAAGUGUCAUUCUUGUCUUAUGCAUAUAGGGAGCUAUAAUAACCCAUAUAUCUCUAUUUGACUCCAACGUCAUUGUCAUCAACAAGCACAUCUAUAUGUCUUUUGGAAAACGGUCGAACUGUGAAAUUAACCACCACUUUCCAAGCCAAACAUAGACCUCUUCUAGUACCUUCAGCAUCAACCUCAAUACCAUUCUGAAAACCACAGCUUCGUCUAACUCGCUCCAUCUUCUUUCCACAAAGCUUUGUCUCCAUGAAGAAGACAAUUUGGGGAUUGUAUAACUUCAGCAUAUGUCAAAGACGUUGAACCGUCCAUCAAGCCAAUUUAAUAUUUAAAUAUGCUAUUGUUGAGAAAGAAAAAAAAACCCGUAAAGAUAAAGAUCUAAUAAGUUGAUAUACCUUUCUUGUUUGACAUUGAGUCUUGAUGAUCUUACCAAGAAGUAAGCAAAUAAAGAUCUAGUAUUAUACUUUGAAUGCAAUCAAAAUUCAUCAAUAACAGAAUCUCAAAAUAACAUAUAUGAUACUAAUACACCCCAACGUUAAGAACACUGAAUCAAAAUUAUACCGAUAUCAAAAUAUUCCAAAAACACAUGUUGUCUAAAAUUUAGAAUAUAUAUAUUCAAAUUGAAACAAUCAAAUAAACACAUAAAACAAUUAGUUUAAUGAUGACUAAGGACCGAUGCGAAGUCAAAUAUUAUAAUGAACCUUAGGCCUUAAUUAAUAAAAUUGAUCAAUAAAAUUAUGGAUCGUUAUUUACAAAUCUAUCAAUUUAUAAUAUUAAAAUUAAUCUAUCAUCAUUCAAACAUAAUCACCAAGCAAUUAUCAAAUAGCAUAUAUUAAGAAAAAUAUUUUUUUAUGAAAAAACAUCUAGGUACAUAUAAGCUUGUGAUGUGAUAAAUAAAUUUACUUAAAUUCCUUAUCUUCUACUAAAGUUUCAAUAGCACGACAAGCAAUCCAUAAAUUUUGACAUUAAAUUUCUUUUAAUCAAAAUCUAUAUUGAGAUCAAAUCUUUUACCAUCCUUAAAAUUUAGAAGUAAAUUAAAUUAAAUUAAAUCAUCAUAAUAAAUAAGUCUGAUCUUUAAUAGAUAAGUAUAAUAAAACUAAGAGAAUUAUAGUAAGAAUAAGAGAGAAAAGUAGACACAAAAGUGAAACUAUAAAUCUAUUUUUCUUAGAUUCAAUAAGCUCGUACAUUCCUUUUAUUUAUAGGGUUUCAAUCACUAUAUGUUACAAAUAUAUAAUAAAGAUAAUUAAAGUACCCUAAAAAUUCUUUAAGGGCUAAAGAGUUACAAAAGAAUGAUUUUGAAGAUUCUGAGAGUUAUAUGGACAUCCAUUUAUCAAUGGAUUUAUAACAAAAAAAAAUAAUGAUGAACAUAAAAUAUUUUUAAUACAAUCAUUAUAUAUAUUAAAUAUAGACUAAAUUAUUAAAAUAGUCACUUUUGUUUCCCUUAAAUUACGUUUUAGUCAUUUAUGUUUAAAAUGUUACGUUUUAGUCACUUAUGUUAACGUGUUCUAACAUUUUAGUCACUGAGUCGUUAAUUUCCGUUAACGGUGCAACAGUAAGCUGAUGUGGAACGUUCAAUCAUCAUUUCAAACAAAAAUUUUAGGUUAAAUUAUACAAUUGGUCCCCAUAUUUUUUCGUUUUGAACACUUUUUUUCUUUUAUGUUCUUUUAACUUUCUUCUUCUUCUUUUUUUUCUAUUCUCUUCUGCUUCUCUCUCUAUUUUACUCUCUUCACCAUCUCUUUUAACAUAAAAGAAAAAAAUUAAAUUGUUCAAAAUGAAAAAAAUAUAUAAAUUAAUUGUAUAUUUUAACCUAAAAUUUUCGUUUAAAAUGAUGAUUUAAUACUUACCGUUACACUGUUAAUGUCAACUAAUGCUUAGUAACUAAAAUGUUACAACACAACAUAAAUGAUCAAAACGUAACAUUUCAAACAUAAGUGACUAAAAUAAAAUUUGAAGAAAAUAAAAGUGACGAUUUUGGUAAAUAAAAAAAAUAAAUUUAAUGAUUAUAUCAAAUAUAGUAUUCUUUUAGGAUAUAAAUAUAGUUAAAUUUGUGUAAGCAUGUUUGAGAUGAACCAAUCGGAAUCCAGAAAAAUAAUAAUAUUCUCAUAUUUUCAGUCAUUCCUUUUAUAAACAUUAAAAACAAAGGAAAAUGGAAUAUUUGUUUAGAUUAAACCUGGGAUAAAGUAACGUUUUCAAAAGAAAAUUAUUUAAUUUAGAUUUAAAUAAUAAUAAUGUGUUGCUAAUAAAAUUUAAAGCAAAUUUAUGAAAUAAAAAUUAAAUAUUAAAAAAUACAAAUAUCCAGCACAAGAAUUGAGAACAGCCACUAAACUAGAAAGAGAAACCAAAACUAUAUGCUUACCAUUACGAAAUACCAAGUCCAAGAGGUAAUUAUUUCACUAAAUCUCAACUCCAAAU
RNAcentral lists this long non-coding RNA (9404 nucleotides) under Gossypium barbadense (sea-island cotton). RNAcentral's name for it is "long non-coding RNA (GBAR_LNC009616)". The record is from RNAcentral. Lineage: Eukaryota; Viridiplantae; Streptophyta; Magnoliopsida; Malvales; Malvaceae.